RNAcentral lists this ribosomal RNA (776 nucleotides) under uncultured Neocallimastigales. Its description in RNAcentral is "partial large subunit ribosomal RNA". It matches the Rfam family "Eukaryotic large subunit ribosomal RNA", at positions 23 to 644 of the family's 3401-position model. Lineage: Eukaryota; Fungi; Neocallimastigomycota; Neocallimastigomycetes; Neocallimastigales. The record is from RNAcentral.
AGAGAGAGACAUGCGCGCAUAUCAAUAAGCGGAGGAAAAGAAACUAACUAAGGAUUCCCUUAGUAACGGCGAGUGAAGCGGGAAGAGCUCAAAUUUGAAAUCUUCAAGGUUCUACCUUGACGAAUUGUAGUUUAUAGAAGUGUUUUCCGUUAGUGGAGUGGCAAAAGUUCUUUGGAAUAGGACAUCAUAGAGGGUGAGAAUCCCGUAUUUGGUCAUUCCUCCUAGCGUUGUGAUACACUUUCAACGAGUCGGAUUGUUUGGGAACUGCAGUCCAAAAUGGGUGGUAAAUUUCAUCUAAAGCUAAAUAUUGGCGAGAGACCGAUAGCGAACAAGUACCGUGAGGGAAAGAUGAAAAGAACCUUGAAAAGAGAGUUAAACAGUACGUGAAAUUGUCAAAAGGGAAGCGUUUGACACUAGUGUUGUUUUUCCGAAAAUCAAUUACGAAUGUUUUAUUUUUGAGGAGUUAUGACUUCAUCGGCUUGCUCCUUUCUUUACGAAACUUUCUUAAUGCACUUUUCGGUUAACAAGUCAACAUCAAUUUCUUUUGUUGUAAAAGGGUAUGAGGAAGGUGGCUUUCUUUUCGGAGAAAGUGUUUAUAGCCUUGUGCCUCUGCAAUCGGAGAGAUUGAGGUCUGCAGCGUAGAUCCUUCGGGGUUAGAUACGUUUGUGCUAAGUUAUAGCUUUUCAUAGACAACUUGUUGACUAUGUUUAGUCUUGUAGCUUACUCGCUGACGCUAUUUUACCUACGCUUAGGAUGUUGAUAGUCACAGCGUGUAC